CUUGACGACCAUAGAACAUUGGAACCACCUGAUCCCAUCCCGAACUCAGCAGUGAAACGAUGUAUCGCCGAUGGUAGUGUGGGGUUUCCCCAU
Molecule: ribosomal RNA, 93 nt
Filed under: Pseudomonas syringae pv. actinidiae
Lineage: Bacteria; Pseudomonadati; Pseudomonadota; Gammaproteobacteria; Pseudomonadales; Pseudomonadaceae
Source: RNAcentral